CCUCUAUUUCCAGGUCUUUGUAUUUUGAAAGUUUCUCCAUUUCUUUUAGAGACACGUUAUCAUCUGCUGGUAUUGAUACAUCAAUUAGAAAGCAUUUAUUUUCUUCAUUAUCUCUGACAACUAUAUCUGGUCUGUUGGCCUUAAUUUCUCUAUCUGUGUGUAUUGGCAUAUCACAGAGUAUGGUUGCUUUCUCGUUUUCUGUGACCUUUUCUGGUGUGUGCAUAUACCAUCUUUUUACUGUUGUUAUUCCAUAAUGUUGGCACAGCUUCCAGUGUAUGUAGGUCCCAACUCUGUCGUGUCUGUGAAUAUAUUCCCUCUUAGCCAGGACUGGGCAGCUAGAGAUAAUAUGAUUCAUUGUUUCUUGUCCAUCUCCACGUAUUAUUAUUAUUAUUAUUAUUAUUAUUAUUAUUAUUAUUAUUAUUAUUAUUAUUAUUAUUAUUAUUAUUAUUAUUCAAUAGUCUUAUUUUUAUCACGUGCUUUCACUGCACUAUCGAGCGCAGCCCUGUGUGCCUUGAGUAUACACUUGUAAGUCCUGCUACUUCGGUUAUGUAUUUGUCUAUAGUUUUUCUCAUACCUAAUGUGCCAACUAUUAUAGGAAUUGUUUCUGUUUUUAGGCUCCCCAUUCGAGUUGCCUCUGUUUCCAGAUCUUUGUAUUUUGAACGUUUCUCCGUUUCUUUUAGAGAAACGCUGUCAUUUGUUGGUAUUGAUAGAUCGAUUAGAGGACAUCUUUUUUGUGGUGAUCUCUGAUAACUACAUCCUUUCUAUAUUAUGCAUCACAACCAUAUGUGCGAGACAUGGCGAUGUUAUAUCAACGGAACAGCCUGCUCGUGAAAUUAACGCGCAAGUGGCUGAGCACUCCACAGACAUGUGUACCCUUAAUGUAGUUCUUGGGGAGAUUCAGCAUGACACAGAGUGUGACAAGUCCGGCCCUUUGAAAUACAGGUACAACAGAAACAGGAAGAAAGAGAGAGAGAAAGUUGUGGUGAAAGAAUACAGCAGGGUUCGCUACCACCCCGUGCCGGAGCCACGUGGAACUUUAGGUGUUUUUGCUCAAUAAACACUCACGACGCCCGGUUUGGGAAUCGAAACCGCGAUCCUUCGACAGCGAGCCCGCUGCCCCAUCCACUGUGCCAUUGCGCCUCCACAAAGAUAAGUAAGGUGUUGGAAGUCGCAGAAGAGGAAAAGUCCGUUUCUUGAAAACGCAUGGGCUUCACUAUUGUCAGUAGGAAUAACUCAACCGCUACAAGAUCACUAUUGAUUGAGCAGGACAUAAAGAUACGUUGAAUAAACCAAAGCUCUAAACACUGUAAGAUUUGUAAUAUCAUACGAUCACAGGUUGAAUACCAAAGGAGAUUGAAAGAAAUGGGAAAUAUCAAAGAGAUAAAGAGAUUUUGGAAGAGUGGCAGCGGCGGCGGUGGUGGUGGUGGUGGUGGUGGUGGUGGUGGUGGUGGUGGUGGUGGUGGUGGUGGUGGUGGUGGUGGUGGUGGUGGUGGUGGCGGUGGUGGUAGUGGUGGUGGUGGUGGUGGUGGAACAUGUUCACAAAAUUGGUUUAUCGGGGAGACCGAAAAAUUCGAGAUAGGUAUUUGGGUGCAAAGUAUCGUGUAAAGAGACCCUGUGAGACCCUUGACAAAUGGCUGCUGUUCUGGUCUUACAGAAUUAACCGGAGCAAGUAAAAUCGAGAGCUCUAUGAGAAGUAAAAUUGAAAUAAUAAUAAUAAUAAUAAUAAUAAUAACAACAACAACAACAAUAAUAAUAAUAACUAAAAAUUUGGGGAUAAUCCGUGGCUUACUAUCCACGCAGUAAGUGCAAAAUAUUGUCUUAACUGGUGCGUCAGACAUAUUGAGAAGAGAAUUGUCGCUGUGAAUUUUCUCUCCUUUUUAUUUUUAUCUUCUUUCUUGACAUUUUUUUUACAUUUUUCAUUUUCUUCUUUUUUCUGUCUUUCAUCCCCUUUUUUUCUAUCUUAUGACUUUGUAAAUAUGAUGUCAUUAUUUUAACAGCCUACCAAUAUAUACAAUAAGUUUCUUUGCUCUAGGUUUCAGGAAGACACUCGGCAAGAAAUGGAAAUAGAAUUGAAAGUAGGGAAUAAGGGCGAUAAUAAUAACUAUUAUUAGUGUCGAUAAAGUAGGUACCAGUUGAGCACUGUGGUAUUCUGUCUAUAAUGGAAAGAACUAGCAUCAUCACCAUCAUUGUCAACAUCAUUAUCAUCAUUAUUAUUAUUCGACUUUGCGUAUAAUCCUGUCGAGAUCGAUGAAGUUAUUACCAGUCGAUGACUGGGCUCCAUGUAAUUGACUAUUUCUCUUUGCCAAAAUUUCAGGCCCUGUAGUAAUAGCAGAAAAAAAUUAUCAGUAGUAGUAGUAGUAGUAGUAGUUAGUGAAGGCGCGUGGCUUAGUGGUUCGGCCAUUCGUCUCACUAUUGUAAGAUCGUGAGUUCAAUUCCCGGCGAUGCGUUGUCUCCUUGAGCAAGAUUCUCUUUAUUUCACGUUGCUCCAGUCUACUUAGCUGUCAAAAAGGAGUAGUACCUGUAAUUCAAAGGGCCAGCCUUGUCACAUUCUGUGUCACGCUGAAUCUCCCUGAGAACUACGUGUCUGUGGAUUACUCAGCCACUUGUACGUAUAUUUCCCAAGCAAGCUGUUCCGUUGAGCGUAUCAGCAGGGACCCUCGUCGUCGUAACCGACGGAGUAGUAGUGGUAGUAGUAGUGGUAGUAGUAGUAGUAGUAGUAGUAGUAGUAGUAGUAGUAGUAGUAGUAGUAGUAGUAGUUUUAGUAGUAGUAGUAGUAGUAGUAGUAGUAGUAGUAGUAGUAGUAGUAGUAGUAGUAGUAGUAGUAGUAGUAGUGGUUUUAGUAGUAGUAGUAGUAGUAGUAGUAGUUAUUGUUGUCGUGGUUGUAACAACACAAAUAUUAGUCACAACAUAACUUCUUUUGAGAAAUGCAGUGAAGACAGCAACGAUGAUUAACGAUCUAAAUUAAUCCGGGAGGGAAUUAAGAUUAAUAAGGUGAAUCCAACAAAUAAAAAAACACACAAAUACUUGAGUAGCGAAACCGGUGAGAAUGUAUCACUUCUGUGACGAAACCAAUCAUUUGAAAACGGAGGAGAAUGAGAAUAGAGGUAUUAGAGUAAAAUGUGGAUGGAUAUCUAGAAAACAAGUAUGUGCGCGCGCACGUGUGUGUGUUUAUGUAUGUAUGUAUGUGUGUAUGUAUGUAUGUGUGUAGGUAUGUAUUACUUGAGCAUUUAAACAAAAAGAAUACAAGAUGGAUUUAAAAGGCUCCAGUUCAAAUCAUGUUCGGAUGUAAAUUUAUAUACAUACAUAUAUAUGUGUGAGUGUGUACAUACAUACAUACAUACACACACACACACACAUAUGUACAUAUAUAUAUAUAUAUAUAUAUAUAUAUAUAUAUAUAUAUAUAUAUAUAUAUAUAUAUAUAUACAUACAUAUAUAUAUAUAUAUGCAUAUGUAUAUAUACAAACAUUUAUUUAUAUAUAUAUAUAUAUAUAUAUAUAUAUAUAUAUAUAUAUAUAUAUAUAUAUAUAUACAUAUAUAUAUAUAUAUAUAUAUAUAUAUAUAUAUAUAUAUAUAUAUACUUUGAUACUUUGAUAGGUUUCGGCCAUUAUUGGCCCAGGCCAUGUCUAACUUAAUAGCACCACCUGGUGAAGUCUUUCAAGUCAGAAUUUGGGCACUAUGGCCCACUCAAGUAGAGAGUUAUUGUUUACAGAGACAUAUCCGGGUGUAGGGGGUUUAUCCGGGAUUUCUUGAAGGAAUCUGUCCAAAGACUUCUUGAACCCUAUAGGGUCAGUUUCUGUUUUAAUGUGUUUUGGUGUAAUGUUAAAGAGAGCGGGGCCAAUUGAGGUGAAAUAAUUGUGCCGUAUUGUUGUUAUGAGAUGAGAGUGCGAUUUUUGUUUUGGGCGGAUGGCACGGGGCCCAAGCCUUGGAUGUACCUUGAAGGUGAUGCCAACAUCAUUUGGGCAAUGCUGAUGGAAUAUUUUCCACAUCAUGCAGAUGAUGUAGCGCUCACGACGACGUUGGAGAGAAUAGAGUUUUAGCUUUUCUAGUCGACCCCAAUAGUCGAGGCCUGUCAUGCCAUCUAUCUUUUUUGCGAUUGCCCUUUGAGGUGCUUCGACUUGUAUGAUACCUUGUAUUGUGUGGGGAGACCACAGUGGACAACAGUAUUCAAGGUGGGGUCGGGCAAAAGUGGAGAAGAGAAGGAUAAUGGUGUGGAUAUCUCUCGACUGGAAAGUUCUGAGAAUCCAGGAACACAUUCUGCGGGCCAUGUCAACUUUGGUGUUUAUAUGAGUGGCCCAGCUUACGUUGUUGUCCACAAUUACUCCCAAGUCUCUGAUGUUGUUGGACGCCGCGAGAGUUUCACCUGAAGGAAGGGAGUAUGGGAGUUUCAGGGCAUCCUCUUUUCCAAAGUGGAUUAGCUCAAAUUUAUCCUCGUUCAGCAGCAUAUUGUUUUUUUCUGCCCAUUAUAUAUAUAUAAAUAUAUAUAUAUAUACAUACAUAUAUAUAUAUAUAUGCAUAUGUAUAUAUACAAACAUUUAUUUAUAUAUAUAUAUAUAUAUAUAUAUAUAUAUAUAUAUAUAUAUAUAUAUAUAUAUAUAUAUGAGCUGUCUUUGGCUGCUAUUCCUAAAUUUUCGGUAUGUGGUGAAGCAACUUGUUGCUUAACCAUUAAUUAUAUUUAUAUAAUACAUACAUACAUAUAUAUAUAUAUAUAUAUAUAUAUAUAUAUAUAUAUGUAUAUAUAUAUAUAUGUAUGUAUAUAUGUAUAUUUGUGUAUAUAUGUAUUUGUGUGUUUACAGAAUGGUAUACAGACAUACACACGCAGAUGGAUGGGUUGUAUGUAUGUAUUUACGUAUCGAUGUCGCCUUGUUCUUAUAUACGCAUCUGUUUAUGUAUAUAUGUAUACAUGAGUUGUAAACACACACGCACAUAUGUGUCGAUAGAUAUAUAGAUGCAUGUAUGUGUAUAUAUAUACAUACAUACAUACAUACAUACAUACAUACAUACAUAUUUAUAUAUAUAUAUAUAUAUAUAUAUAUAUAUAUAUAUAUAUAUAUAUAUAUAUAUCGACACACAUAUAUAUAUAUAUAUAUAUGUGUCGAUAGAUAUAUAGAUAUAUAUAUAUAUAUAUAUAUAUAUAUGUGUGUGUGUCGAUAGAUAUAUAGAUGCAUGUAUGUGUAUAUAUAUAUAUACAUACAUACAUACAUACAUACAUACAUACAUACAUACAUACAUACAUACAUACAUACAUACAUACAUACAUACAUACAUAUAAUAUAUACCUGUAAUGCAUAUACUUAUGAAUAGGUAUGAAAGUUGGGAAAAAGAAAGACUCAUGGGAUGUCGAUGGCGGCGAAGAUGAUGAAGGUAAGCGGGAAGAAAGAACAGAAGGUAUAGAAAAGAAAGAAAGAAAGAAAAAGUGAGAGCAAAAUAAAUUUCAAAAAAAUUAAAGAAAGGAACAAGGAAGCUGAAAAAGCCUUUGAUUAUAGUGUUUAAGUCUUCGUUAAUGAUCUAGGAUUCUAAUUAAUUAGUGAGAGAAAAACAAACUGUUGCAAUGAUAUAUUUCGGUUAAAAUAUAAAAUGUGUCUUUGUAAAGCUGUCGACAUAUUUAGGUUUAACACCACAGCUGGUGUUAUAUUGUGUAAUGUUGUUUCAUAUUCUUAUUUCUUUGUUGUAUUGAAGGAUAUUGAAAGAAGCUAAGAAAUAUGUAACAGAUCGGCAGGUUUAAUGCGUAAUGUAUGACUAGAGAGAGAUUGUUUGAGCGAAUGAGGAGUUGGUGAUUAGAUAGGGAUAUUGGUAAGUAAAGAUAGAAAGAUAGACAGGGAGGUACACAUCCAGACACACAGACAAAUAGACAGAUAGACAUAGAUAGAUAGAUAGAUAGAUAGAUAGAUAGAUAGAUAGAUAGAUAGAUAGAUAGAUAGAUAGAUAGAUAAAUAGAGAAAGAGAGAGAGAGGGAAAGAGACAGAGAGACAGAGAGACAGAGAGAGAUAGGGAACACACAGUCAUAUAGAUAGAUAGAUAGAUAGAUAGAUAGAUAGAUAGAUAGAUAGAUAGAUAGAUAGAUAGAUAGAUAGAUAGAUAGAUAGAUAGAUAGAUAGAUUGGCAGAAACGUUAACACGGCGGGCGAAAUGCUUAGCAGUAUUUCGUCUGUCGUUAUGUUUUGAGUUCAAAUUCCGCCGAGGUCGAUAAAUUAAGUACCAGUUAUGCACUGGGGUCGAUGUAAUUUACUUAAUCCGUUUGUCUGUCCUUGUUUGUCCUCUCUGUGUGUAGCCCCUUGAGGGCAGUAAAGAAAUAAGAUAGAUAGAUAGAUAGAUAGAUAGAUAGAUAGAUAGAUAGAUAGAUAGAUAGAUAGAUAGAUAGAUAGAUAGAUAGAUAGAUAGAUAGAGAAGAUAGACAGACAGAUAGAUAAGAACUUAUUUACUCAGGUUGCGGGAAAAAUUACCCAGGCGAUCGUAUUUGAUGGUUUGCAACGAGGGUCGACCUUCUUCAAUUUACUGUAAAUUAACACCUCCAUAUUAUUCACUUACUGCUGGCUCUCACGGUGGAGGACACAAUUAGAAGAACAAUUCUGAGGACAGCAGCGUAUAUAUGACUUCAGUAUUUUGUUUGCUUAUAAAUAUGUAUAUGAUUGAUGAUAGAGAGUAACCUAAAUAAUAUUGGAGUAAAAGAAAAAAUCUAUGACAAAGAAGAGCACCAGUGUAAUAGACAUAUAUAUACAUAUAUA
RNAcentral lists this long non-coding RNA (6724 nucleotides) under Octopus vulgaris (common octopus). Lineage: Eukaryota; Metazoa; Mollusca; Cephalopoda; Octopoda; Octopodidae. The record is from RNAcentral.